CUCCACCACUGUAUGCCAUUCAGGGAAGCAUUGUGUUCCUCUUGCAUCGUGUUCGAGCUCCAUCCUUGGUCCUCGACCUGAUCUUAUCCUCCACGACCGGCGGCCGCUGACCUCAUUGAUGCAGUAGCGAUUCCAAAAGAGAAGGGGACAUGACAUGGGUUUCGGAAGGAGAAGCGCGGACAGGCGAUCGAUGGCGGAUGAGAGAGCUAACGUGCGGCGCGGGUGUUAUUUUGGUCGGUGUAUUCAGUAAUCCACAAUCAAAUCUGGAUCCGAGGGCUAAGAAUAAAAGAUGGAGGAGAGGAGUGGGGCCGCUCUGAUCUGAAGUAGUUGACACGUGCCCUCGUAGGAAAUUUUGCAGAACUUCCAAACUGACUGAAAUAAUAUAAGCUCAUCCUGUCCGGUAAGCGAGGCUGCAGAAUGUAUUAUUAUUCGGGGGUUUUAAAUUUAU
This is a long non-coding RNA of Juglans microcarpa x Juglans regia, 448 nucleotides long. RefSeq lists it as uncharacterized. NCBI's taxonomy places the organism in Eukaryota, Viridiplantae, Streptophyta, Magnoliopsida, Fagales, Juglandaceae. The transcript is spliced from 4 exons. The record is from RefSeq and is a predicted model, not a curated record.